RNAcentral lists this ribosomal RNA (494 nucleotides) under uncultured bacterium. Its description in RNAcentral is "bacterial SSU rRNA". It matches the Rfam family "Bacterial small subunit ribosomal RNA", at positions 903 to 1397 of the family's 1533-position model. The record is from RNAcentral.
AAAUGAAUUGACGGGGGCCCGCACAAGCGGAGGAACAUGUGGUUUAAUUCGAUGAUACGCGAGGAACCUUACCCGGGCUCGAACGGCUAUAGAAUAAGAUUGAAAGAUUUUAGCCAGCAAUGGCUGUAGUCGAGGUGCUGCAUGGUUGUCGUCAGCUCGUGCCGUGAGGUGUCGGCUUAAGUGCCAUAACGAGCGCAACCCUUACCGUUAGUUACCAUCAGGUUAUGCUGGGGACUCUAGCGGGACUGCCACCGUAAGGUGUGAGGAAGGUGGGGAUGACGUCAAAUCAGCACGGCCCUUACGUCCGGGGCGACACACGUGUUACAAUGGGGGGGACAGCAGGCAGCUACCACGCGAGUGGAUGCGAAUCUUCAAACCCUCUCCCAGUUCGGAUCGAAGUCUGCAACUCGACUUCGUGAAGCCGGAUUCGCUAGUAAUCGCGCAUCAGCCAUGGCGCGGUGAAUACGUUCCCGGGCCUUGCACACACCGCCCGU